CCUACGGGAGGCAGCAGUGAGGAAUAUUGGUCAAUGGACGAGAGUCUGAACCAGCCAAGUAGCGUGAAGGAUGACUGCCCUAUGGGUUGUAAACUUCUUUUAUAUGGGAAUAAAAUGUUCCACGUGUGGGAUUUUGUAUGUACCAUAUGAAUAAGGAUCGGCUAACUCCGUGCCAGCAGCCGCGGUAAUACGGAGGAUCCGAGCGUUAUCCGGAUUUAUUGGGUUCAAAGGGAGCGUAGGUGGAUUGUUAAGUCAGUUGUGAAAGUUUGCGGCUCAACCGUAAAAUUGCAGUUGAAACUGGCAGUCUUGAGUACAGUAGAGGUGGGCGGAAUUCGUGGUGUAGCGGUGAAAUGCUUAGAUAUCACGAAGAACUCCGAUUGCGAAGGCAGUUCACUGGACUGCAACUGACACUGAGGCUCGAAAGUGUGGGUAUCAAACAGGAUUAGAUACCCCAGUAGUC
Molecule: ribosomal RNA, 460 nt
Filed under: uncultured bacterium
Lineage: Bacteria
Description: partial 16S ribosomal RNA
Rfam family: Bacterial small subunit ribosomal RNA
Source: RNAcentral